RNAcentral lists this long non-coding RNA (1091 nucleotides) under Serinus canaria (Common canary). Its description in RNAcentral is "lncRNA (ENSSCAG00000011201.1)". Lineage: Eukaryota; Metazoa; Chordata; Aves; Passeriformes; Fringillidae. The record is from RNAcentral.
AGAAACAUGAGUGGCCAAGGAGAGAGGAGGGUUUGGUUUUUUUUUUUCCCCCCUCUGGCUGGAAUUUUUCACUAGAACCAUCCUCAGGGGAGUUCUCAUCUUCAAAAGAAACAUUCUUUCUAUACAAGCUGCAAAAAGAAUUAUUUAAUGACAUCAUAAAUUAAUACAGAGAGGCACAAAUUUUCCAAAAUGUAGAGAGAGAGAAAAAUAAAUUCAUGUUUGCCAAAAACACCCCAGCUCUUCCAGACUUAGGCCCCUCUUGAGCCUGUGAGCUGCCAGUGAUGCCAAAUUGAAUGGUGGGGCUUUUGGCAGGACUGAAGUUUAGCUUGUUUAAAUUCUGGCAAAUAUUCCCAUUACUCACAUUCUCAGCAAGCUGAUACAAAUAUUUGUUCUAUUUCGAGGGAAGUCCAAGCUCAGUCUGGCACCGAGUCCUGCUGGGCUCAGUGGAACUGAGCCUGCCUGGGCCAAGAUUAAAUUUGGACAUCUACCUUCAAGAAAAACAGAAUUUAAAAAUUCCCUGGGCCUUUUAGCACAGAUUAGAGCACAUCAAUGGAAAAGGGUCCUCGUGUGGAUUCAGGUUUUUCUCACUUGCUAAUUUUUGCUUUAAUCUGAUUUGAAAUGGGCCUGGUUUCCCUGGGCUUGGAUUGCCAUUCCUGACUGCAGGCUGGAAAAGCCUCCACACACAUGAACCUCCACAUUCUUGAGAAUUAAAAGCUGUUUAAACUGCACUAAAUCAAAGUGGGACACGGUAAGCACACUUGAUCUCUUUUAAAGCUGUGCAGGUUGUUGGGAUUUUUUGUUAGUGAUGUCCCCAGUUUAGUGUUUCUGAUUUGAAAAACAAACAGAGCAAAUCCUCCAGGACACUCAGGAUUUCUGUGCUCUGCUUCAUCCCCAGGAAGGAUCCUGCUCUGCCAGGAUCUCCAGCAGGAGCAGCACCUGCCAAGCCUCUCCAGGUGGGAAAAGCAGGAGAAAUGCAAUGGAACCUGGGUGCCUCACCUGGGCCUGGACACACAGCCAGGAAUUACUUUUUAAACUGCCUUCAAUCAAGAAAUAUUGCAUGGAUGAGCAGAAGGUGCACGAAAAAUGGCUAA